GGGCCGUUAGCUCAGAUGGUAGAGCAGCGGACUUUUAAUCCGUUGGUCACUGGUUCGAAUCCAGUACGGCCUACCA
RNAcentral lists this transfer RNA (76 nucleotides) under Paraburkholderia hospita. RNAcentral's name for it is "tRNA-Lys". It matches the Rfam family "tRNA". From Rfam's summary of the family: Transfer RNA (tRNA) molecules are approximately 80 nucleotides in length. Their secondary structure includes four short double-helical elements and three loops (D, anti-codon, and T loops). Lineage: Bacteria; Pseudomonadati; Pseudomonadota; Betaproteobacteria; Burkholderiales; Burkholderiaceae. The record is from RNAcentral. RNAcentral also lists the same sequence under 1 other name.